UUGAACGCUGGCGGCAGGCCUAACACAUGCAAGUCGAGCGGAUGAAGGGAGCUUGCUCCUGGAUUCAGCGGCGGACGGGUGAGUAAUGCCUAGGAAUCUGCCUGGUAGUGGGGGAUAACGUCCGGAAACGGGCGCUAAUACCGCAUACGUCCUGAGGGAGAAAGUGGGGGAUCUUCGGACCUCACGCUAUCAGAUGAGCCUAGGUCGGAUUAGCUAGUUGGUGGGGUAAAGGCCUACCAAGGCGACGAUCCGUAACUGGUCUGAGAGGAUGAUCAGUCACACUGGAACUGAGACACGGUCCAGACUCCUACGGGAGGCAGCAGUGGGGAAUAUUGGACAAUGGGCGAAAGCCUGAUCCAGCCAUGCCGCGUGUGUGAAGAAGGUCUUCGGAUUGUAAAGCACUUUAAGUUGGGAGGAAGGGCAGUAAGUUAAUACCGUGCUGUUUUGACGUUACCAACAGAAUAAGCACCGGCUAACUUCG
This 481-nucleotide ribosomal RNA is filed under the name uncultured bacterium. Its description in RNAcentral is "partial 16S ribosomal RNA". It matches the Rfam family "Bacterial small subunit ribosomal RNA", at positions 30 to 505 of the family's 1533-position model. The record is from RNAcentral.